This 58-nucleotide transfer RNA is filed under the name Felis catus (domestic cat). It matches the Rfam family "tRNA", at positions 8 to 63 of the family's 71-position model. Rfam says of the family: Transfer RNA (tRNA) molecules are approximately 80 nucleotides in length. Their secondary structure includes four short double-helical elements and three loops (D, anti-codon, and T loops). The record is from Rfam by way of RNAcentral. Lineage: Eukaryota; Metazoa; Chordata; Mammalia; Carnivora; Felidae.
UAGCUCAGUCUGGUAGAGCAUGUGACCCUUGAUCACAGGUUGUGAGUUCAAGCCCCAC